Molecule: non-coding RNA, 593 nt
Organism: Nannospalax galili (Upper Galilee mountains blind mole rat)
Lineage: Eukaryota; Metazoa; Chordata; Mammalia; Rodentia; Spalacidae
Source: the annotation of a RefSeq genome assembly
AUUUAUAAACAAAGCUCUUGCAAUGAGGACUAAACUGCUUCAGUCAGGCAGAGGCAGCAAGAUGGUGUCAGAGACCCAAGUCCUCAUGUCUCUGCUGCUCUGGGUGUCUGGUACCUGUGGGGAGAUUGUGAUGACCAAGUCUCCAGCUCCCCUGGAUGUGUCAGCAGUAGAGAGAUACACCAUGAGCUGCAAGUCCAGCCAAAGUCUUUAUUAUAGCUCAAACCAGAAGAACUUCUUGGCCUGGUAUCAGAAGAAUCCAGGGCAGGCUCCGAAGCUGCUGAGGUACUGGGCAUCCACACAUCAGACUUGGGUCCCUGAUUGCUUCAUAGGCCGUGGGUCUGGGAAAGAUUUAGCUCUCACCAUCAGCAGUGUCCAGGAUGAAGACCUCGCACAUUAUUACUGUCAGCAGGAUUAUGAGGAUACUCCAACAAUGCUUCACACUCCAACACAAACCCCUCAGGAUUUCACCAGCUGCUCGCACCUCACAAAACCCCAGACUUGCAUACUUCAUCAGCCAAAGAGCUAGGAUGUCUCUCACGGAAGAGAAAUUUUUAAGAGUUCAGCAAAAACGAAUGAGUUCAACAUUUCUUAGG